This 875-nucleotide ribosomal RNA is filed under the name Bacillus sp. (in: firmicutes). Its description in RNAcentral is "bacterial SSU rRNA". It matches the Rfam family "Bacterial small subunit ribosomal RNA", at positions 420 to 1286 of the family's 1533-position model. The record is from RNAcentral. Lineage: Bacteria; Bacillati; Bacillota; Bacilli; Caryophanales; Bacillaceae.
GGGUCGUAAAGUUCUGUUGUUAGGGAAGAACAAGUACCAGAGUAACUGCUGGUACCUUGACGGUACCUAACCAGAAAGCCACGGCUAACUACGUGCCAGCAGCCGCGGUAAUACGUAGGUGGCAAGCGUUGUCCGGAAUUAUUGGGCGUAAAGCGCGCGCAGGUGGUUCCUUUAAGUCUGAUGUGAAAGCCCACGGCUCAACCGUGGAGGGUCAUUGGAAACUGGGGAACUUGAGUGCAGAAGAGGAAAGUGGAAUUCCAAGUGUAGCGGUGAAAUGCGUAGAGAUUUGGAGGAACACCAGUGGCGAAGGCGACUUUCUGGUCUGUAACUGACACUGAGGCGCGAAAGCGUGGGGAGCAAACAGGAUUAGAUACCCUGGUAGUCCACGCCGUAAACGAUGAGUGCUAAGUGUUAGAGGGUUUCCGCCCUUUAGUGCUGCAGCUAACGCAUUAAGCACUCCGCCUGGGGAGUACGGCCGCAAGGCUGAAACUCAAAGGAAUUGACGGGGGCCCGCACAAGCGGUGGAGCAUUGUGGUUUAAUUCGAAGCAACGCGAAGAACCUUACCAGGUUCUUGACAUCCUCUGACAACCCUAGAGAUAGGGCGUUCCCCUUCGGGGGACAGAGUGACAGGUGGUGCAUGGUUGUUCGUCAGCUCGUGUCGUGAGAUGUUGGUUAAGUCCCGCAACGAGCGCAACCCUUUGAUCUUAGUUGCCAGCAUUCAGUUGGGCACUCUAAGGUGACUGCCGGUGACAAACCGGAGGAGGGGGAUGACUCAAAUCAUCAUGCCCCUUAUGACCUGGGCUACACACGUGCUACAAUGGAUGGUACAAAGGGCUGCAAACCUGCGAAGGUAAGCGAAUCCCAUAAAGCCAUU